This 245-nucleotide ribosomal RNA is filed under the name uncultured bacterium. RNAcentral's name for it is "partial 16S ribosomal RNA". It matches the Rfam family "Bacterial small subunit ribosomal RNA", at positions 524 to 769 of the family's 1533-position model. The record is from RNAcentral.
UACGAAGGGGGCUAGCGUUGCUCGGAAUCACUGGGCGUAAAGCGCACGUAGGCGGCUCUUUAAGUCAGAGGUGAAUCCUGGGGCUCAACCCCAGAACUGCCUUUGAUACCGAGGAGCUUGAGUCCGGGAGAGGUGAGUGGAACUGCGAGUGUAGAGGUGAAAUUCGUAGAUAUUCGCAAGAACACCAGUGGCGAAGGCGGCUCACUGGCCCGGCACUGACGCUGAGGUGCGAAAGCGUGGGGAGC